RNAcentral lists this ribosomal RNA (473 nucleotides) under uncultured bacterium. RNAcentral's name for it is "bacterial SSU rRNA". It matches the Rfam family "Bacterial small subunit ribosomal RNA", at positions 335 to 799 of the family's 1533-position model. The record is from RNAcentral.
ACUCCUACGGGAGGCAGCAGUGGGGAAUAUUGCACAAUGGGGGAAACCCUGAUGCAGCCAUGCCGCGUGUGUGAAGAAGGCCUUCGGGUUGUAAAGCACUUUCAGUAGGGAGGAAGGUAGUGUAGUUAACACCUGCAUUAUUUGACGUUACCUACAGAAGAAGCACCGGCUAACUCCGUGCCAGCAGCCGCGGUAAUACGGAGGGUGCGAGCGUUAAUCGGAAUUACUGGGCGUAAAGCGCAUGCAGGUGGUUUGUUAAGUCAGAUGUGAAAGCCCGGGGCUCAACCUCGGAAUAGCAUUUGAAACUGGCAGACUAGAGUACUGUAGAGGGGGGUAGAAUUUCAGGUGUAGCGGUGAAAUGCGUAGAGAUCUGAAGGAAUACCGGUGGCGAAGGCGGCCCCCUGGACAGAUACUGACACUCAGAUGCGAAAGCGUGGGGAGCAAACAGGAUUAGAUACCCUGGUAGGAUAGCG